GAUCAAGCUACUAAGUGCAUAUGGUGGAUGCCUUGGCUAAGACUGGCGAUGAAGGACGUGGUAAGCUGCGUUAAGCGUCGGGGAGGUGCAAACAACCUUUGAGCCGGCGAUUUCCGAAUGGGGUAACCCACUGCAGAGUAAUCUGCAGUAUCCGAAAGGAAGGUAACCCAGGGAAGUGAAACAUCUCAGUACCUGGAGGAAAAGAAAUCAAACGAGUAUGCCGAGAGUAGUGGCGAGCGAAAUCGGCGAAGCCUAAACCAUUGUGUUUACACAAUGGGGUUGCAGGAAUCGUAUUAAGUAGAGUUAUCAAUUAAGAUACUAAUUGAACGGUUUGGAAAAGCCGACUAUAAAAGGUGAAAGUCCUGUAGAUGAAAGUUUUUUAACUCCAAACGAUCUCCUAAGUACCAUCGGACACGUGAAAUCCAGUGGGAAUCUGGGGGGACCACCCUCCAAGGCUAAAUACAUGUCUUAGACCGAUAGUGAACUAGUAUCGUGAGAGAAAGGCGAAAAGAACCGCGGAAGCGGAGUGAAAUAGAGCCUGAAACCGUAUGCAUACAAGCAGUUCAAGGCUUAUGCUGGAAGCGCAAGUAACCGGAACGGCUGAGAACGUGCCUGUUGAAGAAUGAUCCGGCGAGUUAUUGGUAGGUGCGAGGUUAAUUAUUAUGUUUACGCAUAUUAAGGAGCCGCAGCGAAAGCAAGUCUGAAAGGGCGAAUAGUACCUAUCAUUAGACCCGAAACCAAGUGAUCUAUGCCUGGACAGAGUGAGUCCCUUUUAAACGAGGGAGGAGGCUCGAAGCGUCGACCGUAGAAAAGGUCUUGCAUGAGCUGGGUAUAGGGGUGAAAGGCCAAUCUAACUUGGUGAUAGCUGGUUCUCCUCGAAAUAGUUUUUGGACUAGCCUGGAGUGUUAAAUCAGAGAGGUAGAGCACUGGAUAGUUUAGUGAGUGUAACCCACUUUGCGACGCUAACCAAACUCCGAAUUCUUUGAUGUAUUUCUCCGGAGUCAGUACGUGUGGGAUAAGCUUCACGUGCAAAAGGGAAACAGCCCAGACCAUCAAUUAAGGUCCCGAAAUAUAUGCUAAGUGGUAAAGGAUGUGGAAUUUCUCAGACAGCUAGGAAGUUGGCUUAGAAGCAGCCAUCCUUUAAAGAGUGCGUAAUAGCUCACUAGUCAAGUGAUUCUGCGC
This 1182-nucleotide ribosomal RNA is filed under the name Endomicrobium sp. Its description in RNAcentral is "partial 23S ribosomal RNA". It matches the Rfam family "Bacterial large subunit ribosomal RNA", at positions 1 to 1164 of the family's 2925-position model. The record is from RNAcentral. Lineage: Bacteria; Pseudomonadati; Elusimicrobiota; Endomicrobiia; Endomicrobiales; Endomicrobiaceae.